GCAAGUCGAGCGAGAAAGCCUUCGGGUGAGUAGAGCGGCGGACGGGUGAGUAACGCGUGGGAAUCUACCGAAUAGUGGGGGACAACAGUUGGAAACGGCUGCUAAUACCGCAUACGCCCUACGGGGGAAAGAGGGGGAUCUUAUGACCUCUUGCUAUUUGAUGAGCCCGCGUUAGAUUAGCUAGAUGGUAGGGUAAAGGCCUACCAUGGCGACGAUCUAUAGCUGGUCUGAGAGGAUGAGC
RNAcentral lists this ribosomal RNA (241 nucleotides) under uncultured bacterium. RNAcentral's name for it is "partial 16S ribosomal RNA". It matches the Rfam family "Bacterial small subunit ribosomal RNA", at positions 57 to 305 of the family's 1533-position model. The record is from RNAcentral.